CCCUUAGAUGUUCUGGGCCGCACGCGCGCUACACUGAUGCAUUCAACGAGUCUAAAACCUGCUCUGAUAGGGGUGGGUAAUCUUUUGAAUGUGCAUCGUGAUUGGGAUAGAUGAUUGCAAUUUUUCAUCUUCAACGAGGAAUGCCUAGUAAACGCAAGUCAUCAGCUUGCAUUGAUUACGUCCCUGCCCUUUGUACACACCGCCCGUCGCUCCUACCGAUUGAAUGAUCCGAUGAAUAUCAUGGAUUGAGGAUGCAAGUAGUUUCGCCUAUCUUCAUCUUCGAGAAGUGAAGUAAAUCUUAUCAUUUAGAGGAAGGAGAAGUCGUAACA
This 329-nucleotide ribosomal RNA is filed under the name uncultured eukaryote. RNAcentral's name for it is "partial 18S ribosomal RNA". It matches the Rfam family "Eukaryotic small subunit ribosomal RNA", at positions 1470 to 1796 of the family's 1831-position model. The record is from RNAcentral.